AGCUAACGCCUGGAUAGAGGCAGGGAACUAACCCGGGCACUGAGGGGUCAACUCUCAGUGCCGAUCCCGUGCCCGGAAAAAAUGGAAGGCUCGCGGCAGGAAAGGCACGAAAAACCUGUGCCAAAUCAGAUAUGCGGAUCAGAUGAUCCACUGUGUUGACCCUAAAAAAGGAGCACUCAAAGAGCAACAACAACAACAACACUUCUACCACUGUAUAUUAACAAUCAAAGUUCUCAGAGGAGCACAGAACAAUCUUCAGGAUUAGAGCAGCAGUUCUUGGGUGCAAAUCCAACUACAAAGACCUGGCUGAUCCAUCUAGAUGCCCUACUUCUGCUACCUCUAGCUGGAGUCUCAUCACUUGUAAAUCAUUAACCUGAGGAUGGCCCCACAUGGGCAGCCUGGAGAUACAUGAGAUGAAGUUGAUGGUACCACUUAAAAAGCAUGAAGAUGAUUUUGAACUGCAAAAGUCUUGAGCAGUG
Tachysurus vachellii is the source of this 479-nucleotide long non-coding RNA. RefSeq lists it as uncharacterized. The transcript has 3 exons. Lineage: Eukaryota; Metazoa; Chordata; Actinopteri; Siluriformes; Bagridae. The record is from RefSeq and is a predicted model, not a curated record.